AAGUCGUAACAAGGUUUCCGUAGGUGAACCUGCGGAAGGAUCAUUACAGUGAUAUCUUUCUUUCCUUAGCCAAAGAGCUGCCUGCGCUUGACUGCGCGGCGGUCUCGAGGCUUUGGGACGGAGGGGGAUUAAUUUCUCUCUUUACACACCUUUGCUUUUGUUUUUACAGGCACUUUUGCUUUGGUCAGCUUUCUGUAAAAGGACGAGCUGGCCAGAGACCAACCAAACUCAGAUUAGUUUCUGUUUUGUCAUUUUUAAUACAGUCAAACCUAAGAAAUCUCAUAACGAGGUUGAAUUUAAUCUAAUUAAAACUUUCAACAACGGAUCUCUUGGUUCUC
RNAcentral lists this unclassified non-coding RNA (338 nucleotides) under air metagenome. RNAcentral describes it as "partial contains small subunit ribosomal RNA, internal transcribed spacer 1, and 5.8S ribosomal RNA". The stretch from base 1 to 46 matches the Rfam family "Eukaryotic small subunit ribosomal RNA", at positions 1786 to 1831 of the family's 1831-position model. The record is from RNAcentral.